AGAGGUCAGNGGAAUUCCGAGUGUAGAGGUGAAAUUNGUAGAUAUUCGGAAGAACACCAGUGGCGAAGGCGGCUGACUGGACAUGUAUUGACGNUGAGGUGCGANAGCGUGGGGAGCAAACAGGAUUAGAUACCNUGGUAGUNCACGCCGUAAACGAUGAUAACUAGCUGUCCGGGGACUUGGUCCUUGGGUGGCGCAGCUAACGCAUUAAGUUAUCCGCCUGGGGAGUACGGCCGCAAGGUUAAAACUCAAAUGAAUUGACGGGGGCCUGCACNAGCGGUGGAGCAUGUGGUUUAAUUNGAAGCAACGCGCAGAACCUNACCAGCGUUUGACAUGGUAGGACGGCUUCCAGAGAUGGAUUCCUUCCCUUCGGGGACCUACACACAGGUGNUGCAUGGCUGUCGUCAGCUCGUGUCGUGAGAUGUUGGGUUAAGUCCCGCAACGAGCGCAACCCUCGCCUUUAGUUACCAUCAUUUAGUUGGGUACUCUAAAGGAACCGCCGGUGAUAAGCCGGAGGAAGGUGGGGAUGACGUCAAGUCCUCAUGGCCCUUACGCGCUGGGCUACACACGUGCUACAAUGGCAACUACAGUGGGCAGCAAUCCCGCGAGGGUGAGCUAAUCUCCAAAAGUUGUCUCAGUUCGGAUUGCACUCUGCAACUCGAGUGCAUGAAGGCGGAAUCGCUAGUAAUCGCGGAUCAGCAUGCCGCGGUGAAUACGUUCCCAGGCCUUGUACACACCGCCCGUCACACCAUGGGAGUUGGAUUCACCCGAAGGCNNNNNNCUAACCUNCAAGNAGNCAG
RNAcentral lists this ribosomal RNA (800 nucleotides) under unidentified microorganism. Its description in RNAcentral is "partial 16S ribosomal RNA". It matches the Rfam family "Bacterial small subunit ribosomal RNA", at positions 653 to 1453 of the family's 1533-position model. The record is from RNAcentral.